GGGGAUGUGGCGAAACUGGCAGACGCGCUAGAUUUAGGUUCUAGUUCCUUACGGAGUGCAGGUUCGAUUCCUGUCAUCCCCACUA
Molecule: transfer RNA, 85 nt
Filed under: Blastopirellula marina
Lineage: Bacteria; Pseudomonadati; Planctomycetota; Planctomycetia; Pirellulales; Pirellulaceae
Description: tRNA-Leu
Rfam family: tRNA
About the family: Transfer RNA (tRNA) molecules are approximately 80 nucleotides in length. Their secondary structure includes four short double-helical elements and three loops (D, anti-codon, and T loops). Further hydrogen bonds mediate the characteristic L-shaped molecular structure. tRNAs have two regions of fundamental functional importance: the anti-codon, which is responsible for specific mRNA codon recognition, and the 3' end, to which the tRNAs corresponding amino acid is attached (by aminoacyl-tRNA synthetases). tRNAs cope with the degeneracy of the genetic code in two manners: having more than one tRNA (with a specific anti-codon) for a particular amino acid; and 'wobble' base-pairing, i.e. permitting non-standard base-pairing at the 3rd anti-codon position.
Source: RNAcentral